AUUGAGUGCCAGGGAGCCCUGCCCAAGGACAUGGCGUGCAAGAUGUUCCACCAACUCUCCUCAGCCAUUAAAUACUGCCACGACCUGGACAUCGUGCACCAGAACCUCAAGUGUUAGAACCUUCUCCUCGACAAGGACUUCAACAUCAAGCUGUUCUACUUCAGGUUCUCCAAGCUCUGCCUGCGGGAUGACAGUGGCCAACAGAGAUUAAGCAAGAACUUCUGCGGGUUGGUGGCAUAUGCAGCCCCCGAGCUGCUGCAGGGCAUCCCCUACCAGCCCAUGGUGUAUGACAUCUGGAGCCUGGGCAUGAUCCUCUACAUCAUGGUCUGCAGCUCCAUGCCUUACGACGACUCCAACAUCAGGAAGAUGCUGCGUAUCCAGAAGGAGCACCGCAUGGACUUCCCACACUCCAAGAACCUGACAGACGAGUGCAAGGACCUCAUCUACUGCAUGCUGCAGCCCGACGUCAGCCAGCGGCUGCACAUCCAUGACACCCUCAGCCAAUGCUGGGUGCAGCCCAAGGCACAAGGACUGCCCUCUAUGGUCUUCAACAAGGAGGGGGAAAGCUCCCAGGGAACUGAACUCUUGUGGACCCCUGAACCUGGCUCUGCCAAGAGGUCUGCCACCAAGCUGGAGCCUGGGGAACAGACACAGCCCGAGGGACAGCCUGAGACAAAACCUGAGGGGUUGGCAAUGCAAAUGUCCAGGCAGUCGGACAUCCUAGGCUUCCCCAGCAAGCCGUCGACCAGGAAGAAAGAGGAAGGGCCCCCC
RNAcentral lists this small RNA (771 nucleotides) under Pan troglodytes (chimpanzee). RNAcentral describes it as "unitary pseudogene". Lineage: Eukaryota; Metazoa; Chordata; Mammalia; Primates; Hominidae. The record is from RNAcentral.